CGGCUGGCAUGGGGUCCGCUGGCAUGGGGUCGGCUAAUUCCUCCCUCUUAAUUAAUAAGGAAACCAAAUCAUCAAGAGUCUGGUGAAUGUAGGUACCUUUUUUUGCACAUGAUAAGUUGAAUACAGAAGUGAAUUGUAUAUUUACCUGUGGAGAUUCUCACCUCAAUAACUGUGUUAGUUUCUGUCAGUCUAGUCAAUGGACGUGUAUUGUUUUUCUGUGUUAAUUGAAUGUACUGUAUUACAUUGGUACCCGGUCUGUUAAGACCACUGUGUCACGUCCUGAUCAUAGAAAGCUUUUAUUUUUUCUAUGGUAGAGUAGGUCAGGGCGUGACAGAGGGUUUUGUCUAGUUUAUUUAUGGCUAUGUUGGUUCUAGUUUCUUUUUUCUAUGUUGGGGGUUUUGUCUAGUUUAUGUAUUUCUAUGUGGGGUUCUAGUUUUUGUAUUUCUACGUUGUUUUAUUGGAAUGAUCUCCAAUUAGAGGCAGCUGGUCAUCGUUGUCUCUAAUUGGGGAUCAUAUUUAAGUUGUUGUUUUUCCCACUAGGUUUUGUGGGAGAUUAUUUUGAGUAAGUGUAUGUUGCACCUUUUCGUCACGGUUUGUUGUUUUGUUCAUUAGUUUAUUUGUAUGUCUUACAUAAUUUCACAGUUAUAAUAAAAUGUGGAACGAUACACACGCUGCGCUUUGGUCCCAUUCUUCAGACAGCCGCGACACACUGUAACUACCCUCCUUUUUCCUAUUCAUUUACUCUAGUAAUAAAAACCUGUCUCAGGUUAAGAGGUCAUCACGGAGUGUAAUUCCUGAGGUUGCCACUAGAGGGCACCCUUAUGUUUCUAGUGUCCAUUAAGAGGUCAUCACGGAGUGUAAUUCCUGAGGUUGCCACUAGAGGGCACCCUUAUGUUUCUAGUGUCCAUGAAGAGGUCAUCACGGAGUGUAAUCCCUGAGGUUGCCACUAGAGGGCACCCUUAUGUUUCUAGUGUCCAGGUGAGCCUGACUAGGAUUAUUGGUUUCACCUGGUUUAGGGCUAUUUUAGGUUCCUCUAUGGAACUGGGCCUGGUUGCUCAGGUCUCUUGUCUUUUGUUUUGUGUUGUACUCAUGUGUACUUGCUUUGUUGUUGUUGUCUGUGAAUACUUCAGUAAACAUUCUGUAUUUACC
RNAcentral lists this long non-coding RNA (1149 nucleotides) under Salmo salar (Atlantic salmon). RNAcentral describes it as "lncRNA (ENSSSAG00000110759.1)". Lineage: Eukaryota; Metazoa; Chordata; Actinopteri; Salmoniformes; Salmonidae. The record is from RNAcentral.